This 301-nucleotide ribosomal RNA is filed under the name Acanthamoeba sp. GAK2. Its description in RNAcentral is "partial small subunit ribosomal RNA". It matches the Rfam family "Bacterial small subunit ribosomal RNA", at positions 904 to 1180 of the family's 1533-position model. The record is from RNAcentral. Lineage: Eukaryota; Discosea; Longamoebia; Acanthamoebidae.
AAGAAACUGACGGAAGAUUGUAUAAGCGGUGGAGUAUGUGGUUUAAUUUGAUAUAACGCAAAGAAUCUUACCAACCCUUGAAUACAAGUUAUUUUAUCUUUAAUGAGGAAUUUAUUUUUCUCUAUUAAGGCUCUUUAUAUAGUAUUAUUAUAUUUACUAUAUUGACUUGUACAGGUGCUGCAUGGUUGUCGGCAGUUCGUGUUGUGAAAUGUUUUGUUAAUUCAUUUAACGGACGUAACCUUCAGUUUUAUUUGAUUUCUAAAUAGAGCAAUAUUAAUUUGAAAAUUAAUUGAGAGGAGAA